ACUCAAAUGAAUAGACGGGGACCCGCACAAGCGGUGGAGCAUGUGGUUUAAUUCGAGGCAACGCGAAGAACCUUACCAGGCCUUGACAUGUCGGUCGCGGGGAGCAGAGACGCUCUCCUUCAGUUUGGCUGGACCGAACACAGGUGCUGCAUGGCUGUCGUCAGCUCGUGUCGUGAGAUGUUGGGUUAAGUCCCGCAACGAGCGCAACCCUCGUCCUUAGUUGCCAUCAGGUUAUGCUGGGAACUCUAAGGAAACCGCCGGCGUUAAGCCGGAGGAAGGUGGGGAUGACGUCAAGUCUUCAUGGCCCUUACGGCCUGGGCUACACACGUGCUACAAUGGCGGUGACAGUGGGCUGCAACCUAGCAAUAGGUAGCUAAUCCCAAAAAACCGUCUCAGUUCGGAUUGUCCUCUGCAACUCGAGGGCAUGAAGUUGGAAUCGCUAGUAAUCGCAGAUCAGCACGCUGCGGUGAAUACGUUCCCGGGUCUUGUACACACCGCCCGU
This 502-nucleotide ribosomal RNA is filed under the name uncultured bacterium. RNAcentral's name for it is "partial 16S ribosomal RNA". It matches the Rfam family "Bacterial small subunit ribosomal RNA", at positions 899 to 1397 of the family's 1533-position model. The record is from RNAcentral.